GACGAACGCUGGCGGCGUGCUUAACACAUGCAAGUCGAACGGGAUGAUUUAGAAGCUUGCUUUUCGAGAAUCUAGUGGCAAACGGGUGAGUAACACGUAGACAACCUGCCGACAGGAUGGGGACAACAUUCCGAAAGGAAUGCUAAUACCGAAUGAAGUCAGAGGAGGGCAUCCUCCUCUGAUGAAAGAUGGCCUCUGAAUAUGCUAUCACCUGUUGAUGGGUCUGCGUCUGAUUAGCUAGUUGGUGAGGUAACGGCUCACCAAGGCGACGAUCAGUAGCCGGUCUGAGAGGAUGAACGGCCACAUUGGGACUGAGACACGGCCCAGACUCCUACGGGAGGCAGCAGUGGGGAAUCUUCCGCAAUGGGCGCAAGCCUGACGGAGCAACGCCGCGUGAGUGAAGAAGGUCUUCGGAUCGUAAAGCUCUGUUGACGGGGACGAACGUGCGGGGUGCGAAUAGCGCUUUGUAAUGACGGUACCUGUCGAGGAAGCCACGGCUAACUACGUG
This 508-nucleotide ribosomal RNA is filed under the name uncultured bacterium. Its description in RNAcentral is "partial 16S ribosomal RNA". It matches the Rfam family "Bacterial small subunit ribosomal RNA", at positions 28 to 507 of the family's 1533-position model. The record is from RNAcentral.